GACAUAUGGGGCGAGCGUUACUCGGAAUUACUAGGCGUAAAGCGUGUGUAGGCGGACCUUUAAGUUCGUCGUGAAAUCUCCCGGCUCAACUGGGAGGGGUCGGCGAAGACUGAAGGUCUCGAGUGAGGUAGGGGGAACCGGAAUUCCAGGUGUAGCGGUGAAAUGCGUAGAUAUCUGGAGGAACACCGGUGGCGAAAGCGGGUUCCUGGGCCUUUACUGACGCUGAGACACGAAAGCUAGGGUAGUAAACAGG
This 253-nucleotide ribosomal RNA is filed under the name uncultured bacterium. RNAcentral describes it as "partial 16S ribosomal RNA". It matches the Rfam family "Bacterial small subunit ribosomal RNA", at positions 524 to 776 of the family's 1533-position model. The record is from RNAcentral.